AUGCAUGAGCUGCACAAGGGCAGAUUCUUCUCCUUUGGCUGGUUGAACUCAUCGAUCAUUUCAUUGCUACCCAAGAAAGAUAGAUCCUUGGAAGUGGCAGAUUUUCGACCGAUCAACCUAAUUCAUGGUGCUGCUAAAUUUUUUGCCAAGGUUCUAGCGGUCCGCCUUGCUCCGUUAUUACCUGGGCUAAUCUCGCAAGUUCAGAGUGCCUUCGUCAGCCGGAGAAGUAUACAUGAAAACUUCAAGUUUGUGCGUAAUACCGCACGGUUGCUACAUCGUCGGAAAAUCCCAGUUGUACUUAUGAAGAUCGACAUCUCCAAAGCCUUUGAUACUUUAUCCUGGGAAUUUAUUAUCAAUUUGUUGAUUCGGAGAGGUUUUGGACGGAGAUGGUGCUCAUGGAUUUGUGGCCUCAUGUGCACUGCCUCAUCCUCGGUUCUGGUCAAUGGUGAGACUUGUGACCCCUUUGCGUUGGCUUGUGGUGUAAGAGAAGGCGAUCCACUAUCACCGGCACUCUUCAUCCUAGCUAUGGACACGCUUCAGGCUAUGCUACACUAG
This 555-nucleotide ribosomal RNA is filed under the name Triticum aestivum (bread wheat). Its description in RNAcentral is "partial small subunit ribosomal RNA". Lineage: Eukaryota; Viridiplantae; Streptophyta; Magnoliopsida; Poales; Poaceae. The record is from RNAcentral.